RNAcentral lists this ribosomal RNA (468 nucleotides) under uncultured bacterium. RNAcentral's name for it is "partial 16S ribosomal RNA". It matches the Rfam family "Bacterial small subunit ribosomal RNA", at positions 28 to 507 of the family's 1533-position model. The record is from RNAcentral.
GAUGAACGCUGGCGGCGUGCUUAACACAUGCAAGUCGAACGGAAAGGCCCUGCUUUUGUGGGGUGCUCGAGUGGCGAACGGGUGAGUAACACGUGAGUAACCUGCCCUUGACUUUGGGAUAACUUCAGGAAACUGGGGCUAAUACCGGAUAGGAGCUCCUGCUGCAUGGUGGGGGUUGGAAAGUUUCGGCGGUUGGGGAUGGACUCGCGGCUUAUCAGCUUGUUGGUGGGGUAGUGGCUUACCAAGGCUUUGACGGGUAGCCGGCCUGAGAGGGUGACCGGCCACAUGGGGACUGAGAUACGGCCCAGACUCCUACGGGAGGCAGCAGUGGGGAAUAUUGCACAAUGGGCGGAAGCCUGAUGCAGCAACGCCGCGUGCGGGAUGACGGCCUUCGGGUUGUAAACCGCUUUCGCCUGUGACGAAGCGUGAGUGACGGUAAUGGGUAAAGAAGCACCGGCUAACUACGUG